This 70-nucleotide transfer RNA is filed under the name Carettochelys insculpta (pitted-shelled turtle). Its description in RNAcentral is "tRNA-Val". Lineage: Eukaryota; Metazoa; Chordata; Testudines; Carettochelyidae. The record is from RNAcentral.
CAAAAUAUAGCUUAAUUAAAAAGCGCUCAGCCUACGCCUGAAAACUGUCUAUUAAAUAAGACUAUUUUGA